RNAcentral lists this microRNA precursor (100 nucleotides) under Pelobates cultripes (western spadefoot toad). The record is from RNAcentral. Lineage: Eukaryota; Metazoa; Chordata; Amphibia; Anura; Pelobatidae.
AUCCUCCCUCCCAGACCCUCCCACCUCCUGGACAGCUCACUAAGAAUGCAGCUUCAAAAUAGAUGCUGUCCAGGAGGUGGGAGGGUCUGGGAGGGAGGGU